UACGGAGGGUGCAGUCGUUAUCCGGAAUCACUGGGUUUAAAGGGUGCGUAGGCGGCUAAAUAAGUCAGAGGUGAAAGCUUGCAGCUUAACUGCGAAAUUGCCUUUGAUACUGUAUAGCUUGAAAGGAGCUGAGGUCAGCAGAAUGUGGCAUGUAGCGGUGAAAUGCAUAGAUAUGCCAUAGAAUACCAAUUGCGAAGGCAACUGGCUGGGCUUACUAUGACGCUGAGGCACGACAGCGUGGGGAUCGAACAGG
Molecule: ribosomal RNA, 253 nt
Filed under: uncultured bacterium
Lineage: Bacteria
Description: partial 16S ribosomal RNA
Rfam family: Bacterial small subunit ribosomal RNA
Source: RNAcentral